RNAcentral lists this transfer RNA (66 nucleotides) under Cheumatopsyche infascia. RNAcentral's name for it is "tRNA-Arg". The record is from RNAcentral. Lineage: Eukaryota; Metazoa; Arthropoda; Insecta; Trichoptera; Hydropsychidae.
AAAUAAGAAAUAAUAAUUAAUUAAAUUUAAUUUCGACUUAAACCUAGAGUAUCCACUCCUUAUUUU